GAUAAGCUUAUUAAAGAAUAGAUAGUUGGUGUGGUAAUGGCAUACCAAGUCUUUGAUCUUUAGCAAGUUUGAAAGAAUGAUUUGCCACACUGAGAUUGAGAACGGCUCAGACUUUUAAGGCAGCAGUACGGAAUAUUGGACAAUGAACUAAUAGUUUGAUCCAGCAAUACCGCAAAAGUGAUGAAGGCUAUUUAGUUGUAAAACUUUAGUUUAAAAAAAAAAUGAUUUUUUAAAGUGGAUAGCUCUGAUUAAUUACGUGCCAGCAAUCGCGGUAAGACGUAAGGAGCGAGCAUUAUUCGGAAUUAUUGGGCGUAAAGCGUUUGUAGGUUGUUAAAUAAGUUUCUUUCGCAAAACAAAGCUCAACUUUGUUUUUUAAGAAAUACUAUUUAGCUAGAGUUAUUAAAAGGAAAAUAGAACUUUUGGUGUAUGGGUAAAAUCAGUUGAUACCAAAAAGAAUUUCAAAGGCGUAGGCAAUUUUCUAUAUAUAGACUGACACUGAGAAACGAAAGUUAAGGUAGCAAAAGGGAUUAGAUACCCCUGUAGUCUUAACUGUAAACUAUGCAUGCUAAAGAAAAGUAAUCUUUUUGGAGAUAUACUGGAUUUAAGCUAACGCAAAGCAUGCCGCCUGGAGAGUAUAGUCGCAAGGCCGAAAUUCAAAGGAAUUGACGGGAGCUUUUUCACGUAGUGGGACAUGCUAUCUUAAGUCGAUAAUACACGAAAACCUUACCAAUUUUAGACAGAUUUCAAAAAUUAACAGGUGUUGCAUGAUUGUCGUCAGUUCGUGUCGUGAGAUGUUGGGUUAAGUCCUUUAACGAACGCAACCCUUGAUUUUAAAAUUUAUUUUUAAAAUAAUUAUCAAAGACAAUUUGAUUAAAAGAGGAUUACGUCAAAUCACCAUGACCCUAAUAAAUUGGGCUAUGAGCGUGUCACAAAGGUAAAAACAACGAGAAGCUAUUGAGAAAUCAGGAGCAAUUCUUUCAAAUUUUACCUUAAUUCGGAUUAAAGGUUGAAACUCACCUUUAUGAAGUUGGAAUUACGAGUAAUCGCGAAUUAGAAAGUUGCGGUGAAAUGUAAACUAAGCUUUGUACAUACCGCCCGUCACGUUAUGAAAGGAAUCUUUUUUUGAAAAAGCAAAAUUUAUUGCUUUUAAAAAAAAGCAUCUGAUUGUAAUGAAGUCGUAACAAGGUAGCUGUAAGUGAACUUGUAGCUGAAAUAA
Molecule: ribosomal RNA, 1216 nt
Filed under: Thraustochytrium sp. LLF1b
Lineage: Eukaryota; Bigyra; Thraustochytrida; Thraustochytriidae
Description: partial Bacterial small subunit ribosomal RNA
Rfam family: Bacterial small subunit ribosomal RNA
Source: RNAcentral